GCCCUUGUUAGCUCAGUUGGUAGAGCAUGAGACACUCAAUCUCAGGGCACAAGUUCGAGUCCCACAUUCCUGCGUUGCCACGGGUU
Podarcis lilfordi (Lilford's wall lizard) is the source of this 86-nucleotide non-coding RNA. The record is from the annotation of a GenBank genome assembly. NCBI's taxonomy places the organism in Eukaryota, Metazoa, Chordata, Lepidosauria, Squamata, Lacertidae.